AGUGAACGCUGGCGGUAGGCCUAACACAUGCAAGUCGAACGGCAGCACAGUAAGAGCUUGCUCUUACGGGUGGCGAGUGGCGGACGGGUGAGGAAUACAUCGGAAUCUACUUUUUCGUGGGGGAUAACGUAGGGAAACUUACGCUGAUACCGCAUACGACCUACGGGUGGAAGCAGGGGAUCUUCGGACCUUGCGCGAUUGAAUGAGCCGAUGUCGGAUUAGCUAGUUGGCGGGGUAAAGGCCCACCAAGGCGACGAUCCGUAGCUGGUCUGAGAGGAUGAUCAGCCACACUGGAACUGAGACACGGUCCAGACUCCUACGGGAGGCAGCAGUGGGGAAUAUUGGACAAUGGGCGCAAGCCUGAUCCAGCCAUACCGCGUGGGUGAAGAAGGCCUUCGGGUUGUAAAGCCCUUUUGUUGGGAAAGAAAAGCAGCAGGUUAAUACCCCGCUGUUCUGACGGUACCCAAAGAAUAAGCACCGGCUAACUUCGU
Molecule: ribosomal RNA, 491 nt
Filed under: uncultured bacterium
Lineage: Bacteria
Description: partial 16S ribosomal RNA
Rfam family: Bacterial small subunit ribosomal RNA
Source: RNAcentral